CGAUAUCUGAGACACGAUAUCGGGCCCUACGGGGGCGCAGCAGGCGCGAAAACUUCACAAUGUGCGAAAAGCACGAUGAGGGAAUCCCAAGUGCUUUGCUCGUAAGAGUAAGCUGUUUUUAUGUCUAAAAUGCAUGGAGAGUAAGGGCUGGGUAAGACGGGUGCCAGCCGCCGCGGUAAUACCUGCAGCUCAAGUGGUGACCGCUAUUAUUGGGCCUAAAACGUUCGUAGCCGGUUUAUUAAAUGCCUGGGUAAAUCGUGUAGCUUAACUAUACGAAUUCCGGGUAGACUGAUAGACUUGAGACCGGGAGAAGCUAGAGGUACUCCUGGGGUAGAGGUGAAAUUCUGUAAUCCUGGGGGGACCACCAGUGGCGAAGGCGUCUAGCUAGAACGGGUCUGACGGUGAGGAACGAAGCCCUGGGGCGCAAACCGGAUUAGAUACCCGGGUAGUCCAGGGUGUAAACGCUGCUUGCUUGAUGUUAGUUGGGCUCCGAGCCCAAUUAGUGUCGGAGAGAAGUUGUUAAGCAAGCUGCCUGGGAGGUGCGAUCGCAAGAUUGAAACUUAAAGGAAUUGGC
Molecule: ribosomal RNA, 574 nt
Filed under: uncultured Thermoplasmata archaeon
Lineage: Archaea; Methanobacteriati; Thermoplasmatota; Thermoplasmata
Description: bacterial SSU rRNA
Rfam family: Archaeal small subunit ribosomal RNA
Source: RNAcentral